RNAcentral lists this ribosomal RNA (209 nucleotides) under uncultured bacterium. RNAcentral's name for it is "partial 16S ribosomal RNA". It matches the Rfam family "Bacterial small subunit ribosomal RNA", at positions 568 to 774 of the family's 1533-position model. The record is from RNAcentral.
UUCGUAGGUGGCCAACUAAGCCAGACGUGAAAUCCCUCAGCUUAACUGGGGAACUGCGUCUGGGACUGGAUGGCUUGAGUGUAGGAGAGGAACGCGGAAUUCCAGGUGUAGCGGUGAAAUGCGUAGAUAUCUGGAGGAACACCGGUGGCGAAGGCGGCGUUCUGGACUGCAACUGACACUGAGGAACGAAAGGCCAGGGAAGGCAAACG